RNAcentral lists this ribosomal RNA (465 nucleotides) under uncultured bacterium. Its description in RNAcentral is "partial 16S ribosomal RNA". It matches the Rfam family "Bacterial small subunit ribosomal RNA", at positions 338 to 795 of the family's 1533-position model. The record is from RNAcentral.
CCUACGGGGGGCAGCAGUAGGGAAUCUUCCACAAUGGGCGAAAGCCUGAUGGAGCAACGCCGCGUGGGUGAAGAAGGUCUUCGGAUCGUAAAACUCUGUUGUUAGAGAAGAACGUGCGUGAGAGUAACUGUUCACGUUUCGACGGUAUCUAACCAGAAAGCCACGGCUAACUACGUGCCAGCAGCCGCGGUAAUACGUAGGUGGCAAGCGUUAUCCGGAUUUAUUGGGCGUAAAGGGAACGCAGGCGGUCUUUUAAGUCUGAUGUGAAAGCCUUCGGCUUAACCGGAGUAGUGCAUUGGAAACUGGGAGACUUGAGUGCAGAAGAGGAGAGUGGAAUUCCAUGUGUAGCGGUGAAAUGCGUAGAUAUAUGGAAGAACACCAGUGGCGAAAGCGGCUCUCUGGUCUGUAACUGACGCUGAGGUUCGAAAGCGUGGGUAGCAAACAGGAUUAGAUACCCUAGUAGUC